RNAcentral lists this ribosomal RNA (503 nucleotides) under uncultured bacterium. RNAcentral describes it as "partial 16S ribosomal RNA". It matches the Rfam family "Bacterial small subunit ribosomal RNA", at positions 30 to 523 of the family's 1533-position model. The record is from RNAcentral.
AUUGAACGCUGGCGGCAGGCUUAACACAUGCAAGUCGAGCGGGGUGAUGGUGCUUGCACUAUCACUUAGCGGCGGACGGGUGAGUAAUGCUUAGGAAUCUGCCUAUUAGUGGGGGACAACAUCUCGAAAGGGAUGCUAAUACCGCAUACAUCCUACGGGAGAAAGCAGGGGAUCACUUGUGACCUUGCGCUAAUAGAUGAGCCUAAGUCGGAGUAGCUAGUUGGUGGGGUAAAGGCCUACCAAGGCGACGAUCUGUAGCGGGUCUGAGAGGAUGAUCCGCCACACUGGGACUGAGACACGGACCAGACUCCUACGGGAGGCAGCAGUGGGGAAUAUUGGACAAUGGGGGGAACCCUGAUUCAGCCAUGCCGCGUGUGUGAAGAAGGCCUUAUGGUUGUAAAGCACUUUAAGCGAGGAGGAGGCUCUUUUGGUUAAUACCCAAGAUGAGUGGACGUUACUCGCAGAAUAAGCACCGGCUAACUCUGUGCCAGCCGCCGCUGUAA